Molecule: ribosomal RNA, 468 nt
Filed under: uncultured bacterium
Lineage: Bacteria
Description: partial 16S ribosomal RNA
Rfam family: Bacterial small subunit ribosomal RNA
Source: RNAcentral
GACGAACGCUGGCGGCGUGCUUAACACAUGCAAGUCGAACGGAAAGGCCCUGCUUUUGUGGGGUGCUCGAGUGGCGAACGGGUGAGUAACACGUGUGUAACCUGCCCUUGACUUUGGGAUAACUUCAGGAAACUGGGGCUAAUACCGGAUAGGAGCUCCUGCUGCAUGGUGGGGGUUGGAAAGUUUCGGCGGUUGGGGAUGGACUCGCGGCUUAUCAGCUUGUUGGUGGGGUAGUGGCUUACCAAGGCUUUGACGGGUAGCCGGCCUGGGAGGGUGACCGGCCACAAUAGGACUGAGGGACGGACCAGACUGCAACGUGAGGCAGUAGUGGGAAGUCUUGCACAACGGGCCGAAGCCUGAGGCAGAAACGCCGCGUGCGGGAUGACGGCCUUCGGGUUGUAAACCGCUUUCGCCUGUGACGAAGCGGGAGUGACGGUAAUGGGUAAAGAAGCACCGGCUAACUACGUG